CUUCCUUUUUAAUGGCACCUUGAUAUUGUUGGCAGGAUAAUUUCUUCAUUGUUGGGUAAAAGUUGUAGUAGGCAGAUUUCUAAGUGGCUCCCUAUGCUAUGCAGUUAUAUGUUACCUAACAUGGAAAUGGGGAUUUUGAGUAUAAAAUUAAGGCUUUGACUCACUGACUUAAAACAAGGAGAUUAUCUGUUUGGAUCUAAUCUAUCAACAUGAUCUCUUUAAAAUCCACAUCUACUUCCUUCUCUAACUAAUCACAGAAGAGGAAAUCAGUGAUAUUCAAACUGGGCAUGACCUAAGAAUCUUUAGCAAGAACACAGUGGAGAUCAUAUGAACUUGAGUCACCUGAAGAGCUUAGUAGACAAUUUUUUGAAGAGACUCAAAAAGUGAGCUCAACUUAGCAACAGCUUGAUUGGAGUCUUGCAAGACCCUGAGGAGCAAACCCAGGUAAAGCAUGGGAGAAAGAUGAAAUGCAUUCCAGAAAGAGGAACUGGCUUAUGGAAAACAUGAAGAUCCCCUACAGGAGACAAUAAUUCAAGAUGUGAGAGUGGCAUAAAGAAAUAAUUGUUGGCAUUUGGCACUGGAACUCAAGAUCAUUGAGCAACCGGGCCAGAAUGGACCUUAUUCUUGGUAAGACAAAGGAGUCUAAGCAGAAUCAUGGGGGAGGAAAAUAAAUUAAUCAAAACAAGACAGAAAAUCUGAA
Heterocephalus glaber (naked mole-rat) is the source of this 700-nucleotide long non-coding RNA. RefSeq lists it as uncharacterized. Lineage: Eukaryota; Metazoa; Chordata; Mammalia; Rodentia; Bathyergidae. The record is from RefSeq and is a predicted model, not a curated record.